AUUGAACGCUGGCGGCAGGCCUAACACAUGCAAGUCGAACGGUAACAGGAAGAAGCUUGCUUCUUUGCUGACGAGUGGCGGACGGGUGAGUAAUGUCUGGGAAACUGCCUGAUGGAGGGGGAUAACUACUGGAAACGGUAGCUAACACCGCAUAACGUCGCAAGACCAAAGAGGGGGACCUUCGGGCCUCUUGCCAUCGGAUGUGCCCAGAUGGGAUUAGCUAGUAGGUGGGGUAACGGCUCACCUAGGCGACGAUCCCUAGCUGGUCUGAGAGGUUGACCAGCCACACUGGAACUGAGACACGGUCCAGACUCCUACGGGAGGCAGCAGUGGGGAAUAUUGCACAAUGGGCGAAAGCCUGAUGGAGCAAUGCCGCGUGUAUGAAGAAGGCCUUCGGAUUGUAAAGUACUUUCAGCAGGGAGGAAGAGAGUAGAGUGAAUACCUGUGCGUAUUGACGUUACCUGCAGAGAAAGCACCGGCUAACUCCGUG
RNAcentral lists this ribosomal RNA (490 nucleotides) under uncultured bacterium. Its description in RNAcentral is "partial 16S ribosomal RNA". It matches the Rfam family "Bacterial small subunit ribosomal RNA", at positions 30 to 507 of the family's 1533-position model. The record is from RNAcentral.